Tachysurus vachellii is the source of this 339-nucleotide non-coding RNA. The record is from the annotation of a RefSeq genome assembly. Lineage: Eukaryota; Metazoa; Chordata; Actinopteri; Siluriformes; Bagridae.
AUGGAAGUAGAUGUUCACAAACUAGAAAAAGAGUACUACAUCUUUGUUAUAAUGUUAACCAAAGGUGUCAGCAGUGAUGAGAUCAGACUGGACCAGUCUCCUGCUGUGGUAAAGAGACCUGGAGAAACUGUGAAGAUCUCCUGUAAGAUACACGGCUUUGUUAUGACGAGCAGCUACAUGCACUGGAUCACACAGAAACCAGGGAAAGCUCUGGAAUGGCUUGGUAGGAUGGAUACAGGCAGUAAUAAAGCAAUAUAUGCAGAGUCUGUGAAGAACCAGCUCACUUUAACGGAAGACGUCUCAGCAAGCACACAGGACUUAGAGACCAAGCCACAGUGA